This 281-nucleotide unclassified non-coding RNA is filed under the name uncultured fungus. Its description in RNAcentral is "partial contains 5.8S ribosomal RNA, internal transcribed spacer 2, and large subunit ribosomal RNA". The stretch from base 1 to 52 matches the Rfam family "5.8S ribosomal RNA", at positions 103 to 154 of the family's 154-position model. The record is from RNAcentral. Lineage: Eukaryota; Fungi.
AACGCACAUUGCGCCCUUCGGUAUUCCGAAGGGCAUGCCUGUUCGAGCGUCAUUAUCACCCCUCAAGCCCCCGGGCUUGGUGUUGGACGGUUUGGUGAAGGCCUCCGGGCGAUCACCCCUCCUAAAGACAAUGACGGCGGCCUGUUGGAACCCCCGGUACAUUGAGCUUCUUAACUGAGCACGUAUCGGAUCAAGAGAACCCAGGCCCCGGUCUUCUCCCUUUAUUGGGAAAAUUUAUCAAGGUUGACCUCGGAUCAGGUAGGAAUACCCGCUGAACUUAA